AGCAGUCGCCGCGGUAAUACGUAGGGUGCAAGCGUUAAUCGGAAUUACUGGGCGUAAAGCGCACGCAGGCGGUCUGACAAGUCAGAUGUGAAAACUGGAGGCUCAACCUCCAGCCUGCAGUGGGUACGGGCAGACUAGAGUGCGGUAGGGGAGAUUGGAAUUCCUGGUGUAGCGGUGGAAUGCGCAGAUAUCAGGAGGAACACCGAUGGCGAAGGCAGAUCUCUGGGCCGUAACUGACGCUGAGGAGCGAAAGCGUGGGGAGCGAACAGGAUUAGAUACCCCUGUAGUCCCUGUCUCUUAUAU
Molecule: ribosomal RNA, 303 nt
Filed under: uncultured bacterium
Lineage: Bacteria
Description: partial 16S ribosomal RNA
Rfam family: Bacterial small subunit ribosomal RNA
Source: RNAcentral